This 27-nucleotide non-coding RNA is filed under the name Cricetulus griseus (Chinese hamster). The record is from RNAcentral. Lineage: Eukaryota; Metazoa; Chordata; Mammalia; Rodentia; Cricetidae.
UAUUCUCAGGUGGGGAACUCAUUCUAG